GAUGAAGAACGUAGCGAAAUGCGAUACGUAAUGUGAAUUGCAGAAUUCAGUGAAUCAUCGAAUCUUUGAACGCACCUUGCGCUCUUUGGUAUUCCGAAGAGCAUGCCUGUUUGAGUGUCAUGAAAAUAUCAACCUUGACUUGGGUUUUGUGCUCUAGUCUCGGCUUGGAAUUGGGUGCUUGCCGCUUUUACGAGCGGCUCACCUUAAAUGUAUUAGCUGGAUCUGUCUUUGAGACUUGGUUUGACUUGGCGUAAUAAGUAUUUCGCUAAGGACAUUCUUCGGAGUGGCCUCGUUUCUAGGACGCUUGUCCGCUUUCCAAUACAAGUUCCACCUCGUGGACAUGACUUUUUAUUAUCUGGCCUCAAAUCAGGUAGGACUACCCGCUGAACUUAAGCAUAUCAAUAAGCGGAGGA
RNAcentral lists this unclassified non-coding RNA (413 nucleotides) under soil metagenome. RNAcentral describes it as "partial contains 5.8S ribosomal RNA, internal transcribed spacer 2, and large subunit ribosomal RNA". The stretch from base 1 to 120 matches the Rfam family "5.8S ribosomal RNA", at positions 35 to 154 of the family's 154-position model. The record is from RNAcentral.